ACAAGCAGCGGAGCGUGUGGUUUAAUUCGAUGCUACACGAAGAACCUUACCAGGGUUUGACAUACAAGUAGUAGGGAAAGGAAACUGGACCGACCCUUCGGGGAGCUUGAACAGGUGCUGCAUGGCUGUCGUCAGCUCGUGCGUGAGAUGUUCGGUUAAGUCCGCUAACGAGCGCAACCCUCGCUGUGUGUUACAAGUGUCACACGGAACUGCCGGUCAUAAACCGGAGGAAGGUGGGGAUGACGUCAAGUCAGCAUGGCCUUUAUAUCCUGGGCUACACACGCGCUACAAUGGGAAGGGACAAUAGGUUGCGAAGCCGCGAGGCGGAGCCAAUCCAGCAAAACUUCCCUCAGUUCAGAUUGCAGGCUGCAACUCGCCUGCAUGAAGUUGGAGUUGCUAGUAAACGCAGGUCAGCCAUACUGCGUUGAAUACGUUCCCGGGGCUU
This 445-nucleotide ribosomal RNA is filed under the name uncultured Anaerolineaceae bacterium. RNAcentral describes it as "bacterial SSU rRNA". It matches the Rfam family "Bacterial small subunit ribosomal RNA", at positions 925 to 1382 of the family's 1533-position model. Lineage: Bacteria; Bacillati; Chloroflexota; Anaerolineae; Anaerolineales; Anaerolineaceae. The record is from RNAcentral.